CCUACGGGGUGCUGCAGUGGGGAAUAUUGGACAAUGGGCGAAAGCCUGAUCCAGCCAUGCCGCGUGUGUGAAGAAGGCCUUCGGGUUGUAAAGCACUUUCAGUGGGGAAGAAAGCCUUGGGGCUAAUACCCUCGAGGAAGGACAUCACCCACAGAAGAAGCACCGGCUAACUCCGUGCCAGCAGCCGCGGUAAUACGGAGGGUGCGAGCGUUAAUCGGAAUUACUGGGCGUAAAGCGCGCGUAGGCGGUCUGAUAAGCCGGUUGUGAAAGCCCCGGGCUCAACCUGGGAACGGCAUCCGGAACUGGCAGGCUAGAGUGCAGGAGAGGAAGGUAGAAUUCCCGGUGUAGCGGUGAAAUGCGUAGAGAUCGGGAGGAAUACCAGUGGCGAAGGCGGCCUUCUGGACUGACACUGACGCUGAGGUGCGAAAGCGUGGGUAGCAAACAGGAUUAGAUACCCGGGUAGUC
Molecule: ribosomal RNA, 465 nt
Filed under: Vreelandella stevensii
Lineage: Bacteria; Pseudomonadati; Pseudomonadota; Gammaproteobacteria; Oceanospirillales; Halomonadaceae
Description: partial 16S ribosomal RNA
Rfam family: Bacterial small subunit ribosomal RNA
Source: RNAcentral